AUACGGAGGGUGCAAGCGUUAAUCGGAAUUACUGGGCGUAAAGCGCGCGUAGGCGGCCGAAUAAGUCGAUUGUGAAAGCCCCGGGCUCAACCUGGGAAUUGCAGUCGAUACUGUUCGGCUAGAGUGUGGGAGAGGGUGGUGGAAUUCCCGGUGUAGCGGUGAAAUGCGUAGAUAUCGGGAGGAACAUCAGUGGCGAAGGCGACCACCUGGCCCAACACUGACGCUGAGGUGCGAAAGCGUGGCUAGCAAACAGGAUUAGAUACCCUGGUAGUCCACGCCGUAAACGAUGUCGACUAGCCGUUGGAGACCUUAGAGUCUUUAGUGGCGCAGCUAACGCACUAAGUCGACCGCCUGGGGAGUACGGCCGCAAGGUUAAA
Molecule: ribosomal RNA, 377 nt
Filed under: uncultured bacterium
Lineage: Bacteria
Description: bacterial SSU rRNA
Rfam family: Bacterial small subunit ribosomal RNA
Source: RNAcentral